UAUUUUUACUUAUUUUUCUAGAUAAAAUUUAGGAUCAGUUUAUCUAAGUCCAGAAGAAAAUGGUACUUAUUUAUAUUGGAAUGCCAUUUAAUUUAUAUGUUAACUUUUGGGAGUUCCUGUUGUGGCUCAGUGGUUAACUAAUUGACUAGAAACCAUGAGGUUGCAGGUUCAAUCCCUGGCCUUGCUCAGUGGGUUAAGGAUCCGGCAUUGCCCAUGAGCUAUGGUGUAGCUCACAGCAAUGCCAGAUCCUUAACCCAUUGAGCGAGACCAAGGAUCGAACCUGCGUCCUCAUGGAUACGAGUCAGAUUCAUUUCCGCCAAGCCACAACUGGGAUUCUGAGUUUUCUUUAACUCCUUGGGCCUAUGAUAAUGACAAUCACACCUUCUGAUGCUCUCUGCCCUUCUUUGUCUCUUUUUCUUUGACUUCCACAAUAAAAAACUGUGUUAACCAAUACUCCAUUUGUGGCCCCAUACAUUACCUGAGGUGCCUCAUCUACUUCUCUAGUCACCAACCCUAACAAACAUUAAGUUGUGUUUUCAAACCUGAUGCGGUUUUCCUACACAUCACUUAUUAAAUCCAUUCAAUUCCCAUACUCCAUUAAACAAAACAUUAUGUAACCAAAAUCCAUCAGCUUUCAUACCCUACUCAGCAAAAUAAAAGCCUGUCAGACAAACACCAGUCUCAAGCAUUCUUCUCAGAGAGAUUCAAUUCCUCUUGCCUUCACAAGAAUAUAAAUGAUAAUAACCACCACUAAUUGAAUGUUUACCAUAAUUCCAUGUGUUUUGCAUGCAGAAAAUCUUUUAAUCUUUUAAAUAAAUAUUUGAUGGGGAAGUUGUGGCUUAGAAAGGUUUAAUAAUUUCUUCAACUUUACACAUACUAAAUGUUGAAUGGGGAAUUAAAACUCAGGCUUCUGAAUCUGGUACUUGCCUUCAUACUGAUCUCCUGAAGGCCUCAAAACCACAGUAAACCAGAUAUUUCAGUAUCUAAAACCAGUGAUCGAUAACCCUCAAAGGUAUCUCUUCUUUUUCUCUCAGUUCCUCUCCCAAUUUGUGUUAUCUCUAUCUGCCUAGCAUCCUGAGAAAAUACCUUGCACCCCCAGAUUCAUUUCUUAUUCCCAUUUCCAAUUAUUAACCAAACAUUUUUUUUCCAUCUACCCAGCCAGGUCCUCCCCAUUUUUAUCACCUAGGCCUCAUAUUAGGAUUUUUCCGUGGCUUGGUGGAAAGGUUCAGGAAGAAAUGUGGAUCUUAAACUCAAUGUUAAUGCAUACUUGGAAGCUGCAUACUCAAAAAUCAUUUCCUCAGGGCUUCCAAAGUAUCAAGCACAGUGUUAGGUCCUGGGUAGAGGUCAUAUUUGAGGACAUGAAGGAAGAUGAAUGAAAAAUUGUUGACAGAAGAAAGGUCUGAGAUGAUGGCCAAUAUGACCAAAUUUGUUUUCAAUGCCUCUCUCUCUUUCUUCCUUCCUUAUUGUGAUUCAUUCCAUCUAUUCAAUAAAUAUUUACUGACAAUCACUGUACUGUACACCAGGGAAUAUGACCUAGGCUGAGUAUAUAGUGAUGACUGAGUCAAAGUUCAGACCCUCAUGGAGCUCAGUUAAGAGAUGUAAAAUAAUUAUAAUGCAGUCAACAAUGUGUCUACAUAGUAGAUACUAUGAAGGAAACAAUGGUGAG
This 1666-nucleotide long non-coding RNA is filed under the name Sus scrofa (pig). RNAcentral's name for it is "lncRNA (ENSSSCG00040021812.1)". Lineage: Eukaryota; Metazoa; Chordata; Mammalia; Artiodactyla; Suidae. The record is from RNAcentral.